AAAUUCCUGGGAUGUUCGAUACCCUGCUAUUUUGAACCUACAUUUUAUUUUAGGGUUCCCUAUAUUGCAGAUUGGAUGUCAGGCCGCCGUUUGCAGCGGAAGGCAGAAGAGAUGCUGCGGUUACCCACCUAGCUCUGGCUAGGCGUCAAAAUUGCAGGAAACGGCAUUUUGGGUUUUUG
This 179-nucleotide non-coding RNA is filed under the name Lachnospiraceae bacterium. RNAcentral's name for it is "6S RNA". It matches the Rfam family "6S / SsrS RNA". From Rfam's summary of the family: E. coli 6S RNA was the first non coding RNA to be sequenced, but its function was unknown until recently. The record is from RNAcentral. RNAcentral also lists the same sequence under 2 other names. Lineage: Bacteria; Bacillati; Bacillota; Clostridia; Lachnospirales; Lachnospiraceae.